GAAAAGCCCAACCAAUACCACAAUUGCAAUCUAUCCCAAACUUCAAUUUCUCCCUUUGCCCCACUCCCCUUCUCUCCUAAAAGCUCUGCCCAAUGUGCUCCAAUGGCAGCCACAUUAUUCCUUUGCCCGCCCACCCCCCAAAAUUAAGAGUUCUGCCGCAUUUGGCUGUGAGACUUGCAUGUGGCAAGUCUUUCAUGUCUCCUUACAUGCAAUUCACGGGUGUUGGAAAUUCGUAAUUUGGGAUUUUUUUGGAAUAUGUUUUAUUUUAUUCAGUAUUAAAAUAAUAUUUUCCUCAAUUAAAAGGAAUGGCUUAAUUUGAUAAGUUGCACAAUGGUAAUUUUUAUUUUAUUUUUUUUAAGCCUUUCUUUUACGGGGAACCAUUUGUUGCAUUUGGACUGAACUUAUAGGCCAUGCAAAUAUUGAAUUGCUUAAUGUGGUAGUGAUAAACAGACUGAUACCUAUACCUGAAUCCCUAUUUGGAUGUGGAUCCAUAUCCCAAAAUCUUGGAACUAAGACGAAUUGGGCAGUGUUUGUACCCAAUUCGGACGUACCAAAGUAUAAUGGAGUGCUGCACUCUCUGAGCUUCCCUUACACCCAUUUAGAACAAUUCAUAUGCUAAAAUCCUAAUCAAUUCUCAAUAGAUUCAGCUCAAAUGAUUUUAUAAUGAAUUUAUAUUUUGGAAUAAAUUUGAAGUGAUAAAACACAUUUGAAUUCUAUUAUUUGGAACAAAUGAAAAUUACGAUGAAUGGAUUGAGUUUUCUGUUUUAAUCAUUUACAAAGAGACAAAUUUAAGUUAGUUAAGGGUGUUUUAUGUUUUUAAUAUUAAGCCUCAUUAAAUGAAUUGAAUUCUUGCAUAUUUUGUCUUUCUAAACGCACUUAAAGAGCUUACAUUAAAGUUUC
This 900-nucleotide unclassified non-coding RNA is filed under the name Hevea brasiliensis (rubber tree). The record is from RNAcentral. Lineage: Eukaryota; Viridiplantae; Streptophyta; Magnoliopsida; Malpighiales; Euphorbiaceae.